Molecule: ribosomal RNA, 502 nt
Filed under: uncultured bacterium
Lineage: Bacteria
Description: bacterial SSU rRNA
Rfam family: Bacterial small subunit ribosomal RNA
Source: RNAcentral
GAUUAACGCUGGCGGCAUGCCUAAUACAUGCAAGUCGAACGGAAGCAGCAAUGCUUUAGUGGCGAACGGGUGAGUAACACGUAGGGAACCUACCUAUACGACGAGGAUAACUACUGGAAACGGUAGCUAAAACUGGAUAGGAUCAAUUGAGGCAUCUUGAUUGAUUUAAAGAUCCUUCGGGAUUACGUAGAGAUGGCCCUGCGGCGCAUUAGCUAGUUGGUGAGGUAACGGCCCACCAAGGCGACGAUGCGUAGCUGAGCUGAGAGGCUAAACAGCCACACUGGGACUGAGACACGGCCCAGACCCCUACGGGAGGCAGCAGUAGGGAAUUUUCGGCAAUGGGGGAAACCCUGACCGAGCAAUGCCGCGUGAACGAUGAAGGUCUUCGGAUUGUAAAGUUCUGUGAUUGGGGAAGAAUGGUAUUCUUAGGGAAUGAGGAGUACAUGACGGUACCCGAUUAGAAAGCCCCGGCUAACUAUGUGCCAGCAGCCGCGGUAAAUCA